UUUCUCACCUCUCUCUCUUACUCCCUCAUGUUGUUCACCCUCUCUUCCAUACCAAACCUUCAUUCUAACCAAUUCCUCAACAAUUCUGAAAUCAAAACUCACAUGCAAUCAUACAAUCUGAAGGUUUAGCUUAAUCUCAUGGAGAAAAUCUAGAUGAGUGAAACUGAAAGUAGGAAUCAAGAUAUAGAGCAAAGGGAAUUAAGGUUUCAAGAAAGAUAAGAAAUAGAAGCAAAAGCAAGUAGAAAUAGAGAGGAGAAACAAGCUUUGGAAGCAAUUAUCAUCAUCAAUUAGAGGUAUAAGUCGUUUUAAAGUAUC
RNAcentral lists this long non-coding RNA (315 nucleotides) under Medicago truncatula (barrel medic). RNAcentral's name for it is "lncRNA gene30868". The record is from RNAcentral. Lineage: Eukaryota; Viridiplantae; Streptophyta; Magnoliopsida; Fabales; Fabaceae.